This 492-nucleotide ribosomal RNA is filed under the name uncultured bacterium. RNAcentral describes it as "partial 16S ribosomal RNA". It matches the Rfam family "Bacterial small subunit ribosomal RNA", at positions 29 to 507 of the family's 1533-position model. The record is from RNAcentral.
AGUGAACGCUGGCGGUAGGCCUAACACAUGCAAGUCGAACGGCAGCACAGUAAGAGCUUGCUCUUACGGGUGGCGAGUGGCGGACGGGUGAGGAAUACAUCGGAAUCUACUUUUUCGUGGGGGAUAACGUAGGGAAACUUACGCUAAUACCGCAUACGACCUACGGGUGAAAGCAGUGGAUCUUCGGACCUUGCGCGUUUGAAUGAGCCGAUGUCGGAUUAGCUAGUUGGCGGGGUAAAGGCCCACCAAGGCAACGAUCCGUAGCUGGUCUGAGAGGAUGAUCAGCCACACUGGAACUGAGACACGGUCCAGACUCCUACGGGAGGCAGCAGUGGGGAAUAUUGGACAAUGGGCGCAAGCCUGAUCCAGCCAUACCGCGUGGGUGAAGAAGGCCUUCGGGUUGUAAAGCCCUUUUGUUGGGAAAGAAAAGCAGCAGGUUAAUACCCCGCUGUUCUGACGGUACCCAAAGAAUAAGCACCGGCUAACUUCGUG